Molecule: ribosomal RNA, 367 nt
Filed under: uncultured organism
Description: bacterial LSU rRNA
Rfam family: Bacterial large subunit ribosomal RNA
Source: RNAcentral
CUUUACUGUAGCUUUACAUUGGACUUUGAACAGAUCUGUGUAGGAUAGGUGGGAGGCUUUGAAGCGGUGCCGCUAGGUGUCGUGGAGCCAACGUUGAAAUACCACCCUGGUGUGUUUGAGGUUCUAACCUUGGCCCGUUAUCCGGGUUGGGGACAGUGUAUGGUGGGCAGUUUGACUGGGGCGGUCUCCUCCCAAAGUGUAACGGAGGAGUUCGAAGGUACGCUAAAUACGGUCGGAAAUCGUGUUGAUAGUGCAUUGGCAUAAGCGUGCUUGACUGCGAGACUGACAAGUCGAGCAGGUACGAAAGUAGGACAAAGUGAUCCGGUGGUUCUGUAUGGAAGGGCCAUCGCUCAACGGAUAAAAGGUA